UACGGGGGGAGCAAGCGUUGUUCGGAUUUACUGGGCGUAAAGGGCGCGUAGGCGGCCAGCGCAAGUCAGUUGUGAAAUCUCCGAGCUUAACUCGGAAAGUCCAGCUGAUACUGCGCGGCUAGAGUGCAGAAGGGGCAACUGGAAUUCUCGGUGUAGCGGUGAAAUGCGUAGAUAUCGGGAGGAACACCUGCGGCGAAGGCGGGUUGCUGGGCUGACACUGACGCUGAGGAGCGAAAGCGAGGGGAGCGAACGGG
This 254-nucleotide ribosomal RNA is filed under the name uncultured bacterium. RNAcentral's name for it is "partial 16S ribosomal RNA". It matches the Rfam family "Bacterial small subunit ribosomal RNA", at positions 524 to 776 of the family's 1533-position model. The record is from RNAcentral.